This 509-nucleotide ribosomal RNA is filed under the name Metriophasma pericles. RNAcentral describes it as "partial large subunit ribosomal RNA". It matches the Rfam family "Bacterial large subunit ribosomal RNA", at positions 1826 to 2604 of the family's 2925-position model. Lineage: Eukaryota; Metazoa; Arthropoda; Insecta; Phasmatodea; Pseudophasmatidae. The record is from RNAcentral.
CAUCUUCUCUUGAAUUAUUUAUGAGAUAUAACCUGCCCAAUGAUUUUUAAUGGCCGCGGUAUUAUGACCGUGCAAAGGUAGCAUAAUCAUUAGUCUAUUAAUUGUGGACUGGAAUGAAUGGUUGGACGAAAUAUUAUCUGUCUCAAUUUAAUUUUAAAAUUUAAAUUUUAAGUGAAAAAGCUUAAAUUUUUUUGUAGGACGAGAAGACCCUAUAGAUCUUAAUAUUAUUUAAUAUUAUUUAAUUUAGUUUAUUGUUUAUUAAUUUUAAAUUUUAAUUAGUUGGGGUGACUUUUAGAGAGCAAUAACUCUAUUUAUUAAAUUACAUUUAUUUAUGAUAAAUUGACCCUUUUUAUUGUUAUAAGAUAGAGAUACCUUAGGGAUAACAGCGUAAUUUUCUUUGAGAGUUCUUAUUGACAAGAAAGAUUGCGACCUCGAUGUUGAAUUAAGAUUAUGCUUAUGUGUAGAAAUAUAAGUUAUAGGUCUGUUCGACCUUUAAAUUCUUACAUGAU